This 1179-nucleotide long non-coding RNA is filed under the name Phocoena sinus (vaquita). Its description in RNAcentral is "lncRNA (ENSPSNG00000013393.1)". The record is from RNAcentral. Lineage: Eukaryota; Metazoa; Chordata; Mammalia; Artiodactyla; Phocoenidae.
GUGCUCUCUUGCCUAAGGAUGUUUGGGAGGCACGUUUGAUCAGCGCUUGUACGAUCUUCAUAACGAUGGGGCAAGUUUGCAGGACGAGUGUUGGUUUUGUUUUUGUUUUCUGUGAGAGGGUGGAGGGAGGGUAGGAUCGGUGUUUUUAAUACUAAUUUCUAUUUUGGUAACAGACUUUAUAGUCCACGUUGCUUUUCUCGCUCAGUAAAUUUCCCUCUGGACAAUGAUCUGCGAAGAGAACCCCAAGGCCCAGUGCCGAGGCGCAAGCACCUAUACAAGGGGAGAGGGUGGAAACGGCAAAUUGGAUUUUUUCCAUGACCUGUGAGGGGGAUGAGAAGUGUUUUAUCGUGCCUGUUUACCAGGCGUUCAGGAAAUGAAAGACAAAUGAUGGUUUUUCCAUCCAUACCACACCAAGGUAUGCUUUGACGCACAGUGCUCUGUUGGCAUGGAAGAAACACUAUUGGAUUUUUAAGUGUGUGAAGCAGUGCCAAGUCAUUUCCCCCCCGCCAUCUGAAGAAACUGAAUCUUUUGUCCCUUGGUGAUGGACCAGGUCUGUGAGACUUUCACCCUAUCCUGUGAUCUUUGACUUAAUUAGAAGAGUUGACCUCUAUCAACUGCUGUCAUUGAGUCAUGGGCUUUCUUUAUUUUGAAGUUAUAAAGCAAACCGAUUUUAGAAAUUGCUUCAUAUUGCCCUUAAAGACCUGUGAUGUCAAAUAGUAAAUAUUUUAAUACAUCACUCCUUCCAUAUUUCCUUAAUUUUUCUUCACAGGAUGAAAUAUCAACUUCUCCUAGUUGGCUCCUUCUCCAGCUCUUUACAUAUAGCAGCUAUUCGUUUUUUAAUUAACGUAAUGUGGGAUUCUGUCUUAGGAAGUUUACCUGUUUGUACAUUAUACUGGUGCUUUCAAAGCUAUUUCUUUCCAUCCAAAUUUCUCUUACUAGUAAAGAGUCUCUUUUUAAGAUUUUUGUUUUUUGAGGCCUAACAUGAAAUUAGAAGUUGCUAUCUAUAUUCUCUUAAAUGGAUAAGCAGAUCACUCAAGUUGUUUAAUUUCUGUUUCAUAAUUUUGUUAUUUUGUCUUAAUAAUUAAUGAUACAUUUGCCCUAUAGGUACAGCUUCUAAAAUGAUAAACUAGUUUUAUUGCUAGCCUAUAACCACUUUUUAAUAACAAUUUCAACUUGCAU